Siniperca chuatsi (mandarin fish) is the source of this 519-nucleotide long non-coding RNA. RefSeq lists it as uncharacterized. The record is from RefSeq and is a predicted model, not a curated record. NCBI's taxonomy places the organism in Eukaryota, Metazoa, Chordata, Actinopteri, Centrarchiformes, Sinipercidae. The transcript is spliced from 3 exons.
AAGUCGCCGUUGCACUGUAUAAAGGUGGUGUUCUAACCGUUCCAACGGAGUUCAACGAGUAUAGAGCACACUCUCUCAGCAGGACAAAGCAGAGGUAACACAGACACGCUGUGUGAGAAGUCCACAUUUCAGGCUCUUCAAAAUCCUACCCGCUUUCGUUUCAUAUCAAUAACAAGUCUGACCGAGGAGUCACAUGUCUUGGUUCAAAGUGAGGUCGAGCACGGCUGGCAUGUCGACGGCAGUGGAUGCGGAAUGUUUUGGACUGAAUAACAAGACAAGCAGAUGAAGAGUGAGCCUGUAACAACUAGACCGCUGUCAUCCUCCUGAUCUGCUAUGAUAGCAACAGCGCUGAACCAUUUCCUCAGGAUGGAGAGGGAGACAGCAGAUUAAAGGGAAGGCUGCCCUCUUGAGGCUGCCAUCUAUCAACACCCACCCUCUCCAUGCCACUUGUCAGUGUUUUAUUGUAAUAGAUCUUAUUAUAAUGUUUCACUGGACUGCUUUAUUAAAAGUCAAGCUGUU